AAACUUUGCAAUAGGCGAAAGCCUGACAGGGCUAUCCCGAGUGCCAUCCGCUGAGGAAGGCUUUUACCCAGUCUAGAACGCUGGGGGAAUAAGGAGAGGGCAAGUCUGGUGUCAGCCGCCGCGGUAAUACCAGCUCUUCGAGUGGUGUGGAUGUUUAUUGGGCCUAAAGCAUCCGUAGCUGGCUAAGUCAGUCCCUUGUUAAAUCCACCGAAUUAAUCGUUGGAUUGCGGGGGAUACUGCUUGGCUAGGGGACGAGAGAGGCAGACGGUAUCUUCGGGGUAGGGGUGAAAUCCUAUAAUCCCGGGAGGACCACCAGUGGCGAAGGCUGUCUGCUAGAACGCGCCCGACGGUGAGGGAUGAAAGCUGGGGGAGCGAACCGG
Molecule: ribosomal RNA, 380 nt
Filed under: uncultured archaeon
Lineage: Archaea
Description: bacterial SSU rRNA
Rfam family: Archaeal small subunit ribosomal RNA
Source: RNAcentral